This 483-nucleotide ribosomal RNA is filed under the name uncultured Burkholderiales bacterium. RNAcentral's name for it is "bacterial SSU rRNA". It matches the Rfam family "Bacterial small subunit ribosomal RNA", at positions 30 to 507 of the family's 1533-position model. The record is from RNAcentral. Lineage: Bacteria; Pseudomonadati; Pseudomonadota; Betaproteobacteria; Burkholderiales.
AUUGAACGCUGGCGGCAUGCCUUACACAUGCAAGUCGAACGGUAACAGGUCUUCGGAUGCUGACGAGUGGCGAACGGGUGAGUAAAGUAUCGGAACGUGCCCAGUCUGGGGGAUAACGCAGCGAAAGCUGUGCUAAUACCGCAUACGAUCUACGGAUGAAAGCGGGGGAUUCGCAAGGACCUCGCGCGAUUGGAGCGGCUGAUAUCAGAUUAGGUAGUUGGUGAGGUAAAGGCUCACCAAGCCUGCGAUCUGUAGCUGGUCUGAGAGGACGACCAGCCACACUGGAACUGAGACACGGUCCAGACUCCUACGGGAGGCAGCAGUGGGGAAUUUUGGACAAUGGGCGCAAGCCUGAUCCAGCAAUGCCGCGUGCAGGAUGAAGGCCUUCGGGUUGUAAACUGCUUUUGUACGGAACGAAAAGGCUCUUUCUAAUACAGGGGGCUCAUGACGGUACCGUAAGAAUAAGCACCGGCUAACUACGUG